UUCAUGAAGCCCGCAGAUAAAACACUGUAGCUUUGAGAAAAUACAUCUCCCCUACCCCCCCUGAUCGGGUUUCUUGCUUUGAACAGUGUUUUAGAUUAGGUUUUUUUAUUCCAAUUUUAUCCCUGAAAAUACUUCAAAAAAUCGAUAGUGGUGUCCAAAUACCGCCCAUUUGUUGCGCAUCUUUCACACAGCAGAGAAAGGUUCUUCAGUCGACGAGCAGGAUUGAGCGUCGGAUCUUCGAGAAGGUAGUACCAAAUCUGGUGUUUCAUCGACGAGUGCGGCUGUAGUUCACCGACGUCAAUCGAGGUCAUGGACGAGAGACUUGCCCCACAUUGUCCAUUAUGUCAUGGAAGGAUGUUGUUAAUGUGUGCCGGCCCGAAAGCCCAGCAUCCGGGGAGAUGGUAUUACACAUGUCCUACACGAAGAGGUCAUCCUGGAGGAUUUGUUUGGUAUGACGAGUACCAUAGUUCGUGGCGUGAUCUUAUGCCGAAUACAACUGCAUGGCCUGCCCAGAGCUACCAGCCCCAAUCCUCUGAUCAAGCUGCAAGCUCACAAGUUGUGGAUUCUCCGGCGUUGACUGACAACAAUCAAGGUCGAUCCCUUCGUGAAAAUGAAGUCCCAGUGCCUCUUCUCCUUCUGUUGGCCAUCACGGUGAUGAUUGGAAUCACCAUUGGGAAGCUAUUUUAAUUAAGCCAAUGUUCAAGAUAUUGAAAAUAUGUACCUCUUGUUAGUAUUUGUAGUCUGAAACAUGUAGGACUCGAUAUGGUCUGUUCAGUGCAUUUUGCUAUCAUGCCAUGAAUAGCUGCCAAGAUGGAUUGUCUAAUGUGAUUUGG
Molecule: long non-coding RNA, 833 nt
Organism: Salvia miltiorrhiza (redroot sage)
Lineage: Eukaryota; Viridiplantae; Streptophyta; Magnoliopsida; Lamiales; Lamiaceae
Exons: 3
Source: RefSeq, a predicted model, not a curated record